CCUACGGGUGGCAGCAGUGGGGAAUAUUGGACAAUGGGGGCAACCCUGAUCCAGCCAUGCCGCGUGUGUGAAGAAGGCCCUCGGGUUGUAAAGCACUUUCAGUGAGGAAGAACGCCUGGUGGUUAAUACCCAUCAGGAAAGACAUCACUCACAGAAGAAGCACCGGCUAACUCCGUGCCAGCAGCCGCGGUAAUACGGAGGGUGCGAGCGUUAAUCGGAAUUACUGGGCGUAAAGCGCGCGUAGGUGGCUUGAUAAGCCGGUUGUGAAAGCCCCGGGCUCAACCUGGGAACGGCAUCCGGAACUGUCAAGCUAGAGUGCAGGAGAGGAAGGCAGAAUUCGCGGUGUAGCGGUGAAAUGCGUAGAGAUCAGGAGGAAUACCAGUGGCGAAGGCGGCCUUCUGGACUGACACUGACACUGAGGUGCGAAAGCGUGGGUAGCAAACAGGAUUAGAUACCCUAGUAGUC
Molecule: ribosomal RNA, 465 nt
Filed under: Vreelandella stevensii
Lineage: Bacteria; Pseudomonadati; Pseudomonadota; Gammaproteobacteria; Oceanospirillales; Halomonadaceae
Description: partial 16S ribosomal RNA
Rfam family: Bacterial small subunit ribosomal RNA
Source: RNAcentral